Molecule: ribosomal RNA, 126 nt
Filed under: Didymellaceae sp.
Lineage: Eukaryota; Fungi; Ascomycota; Dothideomycetes; Pleosporales; Didymellaceae
Description: partial large subunit ribosomal RNA
Rfam family: Eukaryotic large subunit ribosomal RNA
Source: RNAcentral
CGGCAACAGCUCAAAUUUGAAAUCUGGCGUCUUCGGCGUCCGAGUUGUAAUUUGCAGAGGGCGCUUUGGCAUUGGCAGCGGUCCAAGUUCCUUGGAACAGGACGUCACAGAGGGUGAGAAUCCCGU